RNAcentral lists this transfer RNA (73 nucleotides) under Fukomys damarensis (Damara mole-rat). It matches the Rfam family "tRNA". Rfam says of the family: Transfer RNA (tRNA) molecules are approximately 80 nucleotides in length. Their secondary structure includes four short double-helical elements and three loops (D, anti-codon, and T loops). Further hydrogen bonds mediate the characteristic L-shaped molecular structure. tRNAs have two regions of fundamental functional importance: the anti-codon, which is responsible for specific mRNA codon recognition, and the 3' end, to which the tRNAs corresponding amino acid is attached (by aminoacyl-tRNA synthetases). tRNAs cope with the degeneracy of the genetic code in two manners: having more than one tRNA (with a specific anti-codon) for a particular amino acid; and 'wobble' base-pairing, i.e. permitting non-standard base-pairing at the 3rd anti-codon position. Lineage: Eukaryota; Metazoa; Chordata; Mammalia; Rodentia; Bathyergidae. The record is from Rfam by way of RNAcentral.
AAGGAUUUAGUUUAGUGGUUCCAACACCUGCCUCGCAAGUACAAGGACCUGAGUUCAAUCCUUAGUAUCCCUU